Non-coding RNA from Pelobates cultripes (western spadefoot toad), 241 nucleotides. The record is from the annotation of a GenBank genome assembly. Lineage: Eukaryota; Metazoa; Chordata; Amphibia; Anura; Pelobatidae.
UUAAGUACUCUUUGUGUGGCUGCCGAACGCCACGUGGUGGAGAAAACAGUGGCCAUCUUGUCGUACGAAAGCAGGCAGCGGGACUUAGUCGUCGAGUGCCUGGAGCUCAGAGGUGGACACUCGACUGCCCGAACACCGGUUAAACCAUACGGAGGCCUGCUUCGGUUUGCGGCAAGCCAGGAGAGUGCUGUUUGGUAGGUUUGUUCGACUGGAUCUCAUGAACAAACACUACCCAUGAGCC